GAGUUGAUCCUGGUUCAGAUUGAACGCUGGCGGCAUGCUUUACACAUGCAAGUCGAACGGCAGCGCGGGGCAACCUGGCGGCGAGUGGCGAACGGGUGAGUAAUACAUCGGAACGUACCCAGAAGUGGGGGAUAACGUAGCGAAAGUUACGCUAAUACCGCAUACGAUCUACGGAUGAAAGUGGGGGACCUUCGGGCCUCAUGCUUUUGGAGCGGCCGAUGUCUGAUUAGCUAGUUGGUAGGGUAAAGGCCUACCAAGGCGACGAUCAGUAGCUGGUCUGAGAGGACGACCAGCCACACUGGGACUGAGACACGGCCCAGACUCCUACGGGAGGCAGCAGUGGGGAAUUUUGGACAAUGGGCGCAAGCCUGAUCCAGCAAUGCCGCGUGAGUGAAGAAGGCCUUCGGGUUGUAAAGCUCUUUUGUCAGGGAAGAAACGGCUGAGGAUAAUACCUUCGGCUAAUGACGGUACCUGAAGAAUAAGCACCGGCUAACUACGUGCCAGCAGCCGCGGUAAUACGUAGGGUGCAAGCGUUAAUCGGAAUUACUGGGCGUAAAGCGUGCGCAGGCGGUUUUGUAAGUCUGACGUGAAAGCCCCGGGCUCAACCUGGGAAUUGCGUUGGAGACUGCAAGGCUUGAAUCUGGCAGAGGGGGGUAGAAUUCCACGUGUAGCAGUGAAAUGCGUAGAGAUGUGGAGGAACACCGAUGGCGAAGGCAGCCCCCUGGGUCAAGAUUGACGCUCAUGCACGAAAGCGUGGGGAGCAAACAGGAUUAGACACCCUGGUAGUCCACGCCCUAAACGAUGUCUACUAGUUGUCGGGUUUUAAUUAACUUGGUAACGCAGCUAACGCGUGAAGUAGACCGCCUGGGGAGUACGGUCGCAAGAUUAAACUUA
RNAcentral lists this ribosomal RNA (894 nucleotides) under uncultured organism. RNAcentral describes it as "SSU rRNA". It matches the Rfam family "Bacterial small subunit ribosomal RNA", at positions 9 to 903 of the family's 1533-position model. The record is from RNAcentral.